This 111-nucleotide ribosomal RNA is filed under the name Cebus imitator (Panamanian white-faced capuchin). The record is from RNAcentral. Lineage: Eukaryota; Metazoa; Chordata; Mammalia; Primates; Cebidae.
GUCUACAGCCAUACCACCCUGAACGUGUCUGAUCUCAUCUGAUCUCGGAAGCUAAGCAGGGUUGGGCCUAGUUAGUACUUGGAAGGGAGACAAACGUAGUCCUUGUUUACU